Long non-coding RNA from Dendroctonus ponderosae (mountain pine beetle), 605 nucleotides. RefSeq lists it as uncharacterized. Lineage: Eukaryota; Metazoa; Arthropoda; Insecta; Coleoptera; Curculionidae. The record is from RefSeq and is a predicted model, not a curated record. The transcript is spliced from 3 exons.
UUAUUCGAUUUUUACAAAUUCUGAUAGCAAAUCCCAGCAUAAAUAUUUCAGCAUUUAGUUGAAAGUUUUACUUCUUUGUUAGAAGCUAGGUCUGCUAAUAUUAAUUAAUUAGACAUUUCGAGUUCGAGUAAUUAGAUUGGUAUAAGGAAAAAUCUCUGCAGUCCUAUUGUUGAUACCGAUCAUACAUAUUAAUACAUAAAUAUCAAAAAGACCAAAUUGUAAGGUGUUCUCGACAAAAUGGUACUACCUACAACUUCGAAGAAUAACAGGACUCAACAACCGCAGAAGUUAAAUGAAAAGAAGCCCUCUCGUGAGAUCAAGUGUCCAGUUUGCAUGACUGUAUUUGGAAAACAAUCUGAUAUAUAUUUAACAAAGUGCGGUCAUUUGUUUUGCAAAAGAUGUAUGAACUCGUGGAUUACAACAAACCCGCAUAAACCAAAUUGUCCGGUAUGCAAAGCAAAUAUUGCUAACGGAAGCCUUAGAACAAUAUUUUAUUGAGUUUAUAGCAAUUUUAUAUAUUUUAUACAAUGCCAUUUAAUUACCCAAAUUAAAAUGUAAACACUAUUUUAUAUUUACACGUUGUUAAUUAAUAAACCAACUUUUGA